UACGGAGGGUGCAAGCGUUAUCCGGAUUCACUGGGUUUAAAGGGUGCGUAGGUGGGCAAGUAAGUCAGUGGUGAAAUCUCCGGGCUUAACCCGGAAACUGCCAUUGAUACUAUUUGUCUUGAAUACUGUGGAGGUCAGCGGAAUAUGUCAUGUAGCGGUGAAAUGCUUAGAUAUGACAUAGAACACCCAUUGCGAAGGCAGCUUACUACACGAUCAUUGACACUGAGGCACGAAAGCGUGGGGAGCAAACAGG
This 253-nucleotide ribosomal RNA is filed under the name uncultured bacterium. RNAcentral describes it as "partial 16S ribosomal RNA". It matches the Rfam family "Bacterial small subunit ribosomal RNA", at positions 524 to 776 of the family's 1533-position model. The record is from RNAcentral.